CAGAGGUGAAAUUGGUAACCCUGGCAGAGAUGGUGCUCGUGUGCUCCUGGUGCUGUAGGUGCCCCUGGUCCUGCUGGAGCCACAGGUGACCGGGCGAAGCUGGGGCUGCUGGUCCUGCUGGUCCUGCUGGUCCUCGGGGAAGCCCUGUGAACGUGGUGAGGUCGGUCCUGCUGGCCCCAAUGGAUUUGCUGGUCCUGCUGUGCUGCUGGUCAACCUGGUGCUAAAGGAGAAAGAGGAGCCAAAGGGCCUAA
RNAcentral lists this long non-coding RNA (251 nucleotides) under Homo sapiens (human). RNAcentral describes it as "long non-coding RNA NONHSAT122038.2". The record is from RNAcentral. Lineage: Eukaryota; Metazoa; Chordata; Mammalia; Primates; Hominidae.